AUACGGAGGGUGCAAGCGUUAUUCGGAAUCACUGGGCGUAAAGGACGCGUAGGCGGGUUGGCAAGUCAGAUGUGAAAUCCUACAGCUUAACUGUAGAACUGCAUUUGAAACUGCUAACCUUGAGUAUGGGAGGGGGAGAUGGAAUUAGUGGUGUAGGGGUAAAAUCCGUAGAUAUCACUAGGAAUACCGAAAGCGAAGGCGAUCUCCUGGAACAUAACUGACGCUAAGGCGUGAAAGCGUGGGGAGCAAACGGGAUUAGAUACCCGAGUAGUCC
This 274-nucleotide ribosomal RNA is filed under the name uncultured bacterium. Its description in RNAcentral is "partial 16S ribosomal RNA". It matches the Rfam family "Bacterial small subunit ribosomal RNA", at positions 523 to 796 of the family's 1533-position model. The record is from RNAcentral.